AAUAUUGGACAAUGGGCGCAAGCCUGAUCCAGCCAUGCCGCGUGAGUGAAGAAGGCCUUAGGGUUGUAAAGCUCUUUUACCAGGGACGAUAAUGACGGUACCUGGAGAAUAUGCCACGGCAGACUUCGUGCCAGCAGCCGCGGUAAUACGAAGGGAGCUAGCGUUGUUCGGAAUUACUGGGCGUAAAGCGCACGUAGGCGGGUCGUUAAGUCAGGGGUGAAAUCCCGGAGCUCAACUCCGGAACUGCCUUUGAUACUGGCGAUCUAGAGAUCGAGAGAGGUGAGUGGAAUUCCGAGUGUAAAGGUGAAAUUCGUAGAUAUUCGGAAGAACACCAGUGGCGAAGGCGGCUCACUGGCUCGAUACUGACGCUGAGGUGCGAAAGCGUGGGGAGCAAACAGG
RNAcentral lists this ribosomal RNA (399 nucleotides) under uncultured bacterium. RNAcentral's name for it is "partial 16S ribosomal RNA". It matches the Rfam family "Bacterial small subunit ribosomal RNA", at positions 360 to 776 of the family's 1533-position model. The record is from RNAcentral.